AACAGAUUUACUUCGGUAAUGACGUAGGAAAGCGAGCGGCGGAUGGGUGAGUAACACGUGGGGAAUCUGCCCCAUAGUCUGGGAUACCACUUGGAAACAGGUGCUAAUACCGGAUAAGAAAGCAGAUCGCAUGAUCAGCUUUUAAAAGGCGGCGUAAGCUGUCGCUAUGGGAUGGCCCCGCGGUGCAUUAGCUAGUUGGUAAGGUAAAGGCUUACCAAGGCGAUGAUGCAUAGCCGAGUUGAGAGACUGAUCGGCCACAUUGGGACUGAGACACGGCCCAAACUCCUACGGGAGGCAGCAGUAGGGAAUCUUCCACAAUGGACGCAAGUCUGAUGGAGCAACGCCGCGUGAGUGAAGAAGGUUUUCGGAUCGUAAAGCUCUGUUGUUGGUGAA
This 393-nucleotide ribosomal RNA is filed under the name uncultured Lactobacillus sp. RNAcentral describes it as "bacterial SSU rRNA". It matches the Rfam family "Bacterial small subunit ribosomal RNA", at positions 65 to 446 of the family's 1533-position model. The record is from RNAcentral. Lineage: Bacteria; Bacillati; Bacillota; Bacilli; Lactobacillales; Lactobacillaceae.